GGGGCCGCGCUCGGCGUUCGCGCUGCCACCCGCGACCCCGCGGCCGCCAGCGCUGCGGGGCGGCCGGUGCGGAACAGGCCGGAAACGUGCGGGUGGGCUCGGGGUGGCCGGGAUCUCCCCGUUCAGCUCGUCCAUGGCGGUGACCUCCCGUCCCCCGUGACCGAGCCCGGGCUCUGGAAGGGGACGGCCCCGGGCCUGGGUCUGAGCGAAUCUUGAACCCAGGCCGCCAGCGGGGUAGCUCCCUCCCGAAGGGGAGACCCUGCGUGUCCUUAGCAAUGGUGACAGCCCAGUCGGGCGCUCCAGCGUUCCCUGGAAGGAGAGACUGUGGCCUCGGAGGUAAUUUCCACACCGCGCUCUUCGUCCUCAGGGUGCAGGCAGCUGGAGGAAGCGAGGGCAAGGGGGGGACGGGGAUGUGGACACCUCCCCGGCGCGGGCGCACCUGCGGCCUCACCUGCCAAGCGGCUCUAGGAGGGGCCCCUUGCUGGCAUCGCCCCCCCCCCCCCCAGCACGUGCCCUUUCCUGUUAGCUUGGACCCCACACUUGCCUGCCUUCUACACAGGCGCAGAAACGAUGACUCUGGUUCCUGGGCGAUAGAAGUAUUUUGAGGGUUUAAGAUUUUUAAAAAUACAAGUGUGGAAUUUAAAAAAAAAAAAAUACUUUUUAAAAAAUAGAAUUAAAAAAAUGCUUUAGAAUCACUAGGCAUAUUUUGGUGGGAAGGUAGGUAAAAAGGCAAAAAGCAUUUUCUUUCUAGGUGGAAGUGGCCACUCGCAAGGGCCAAAGUGAAUUCAGAAUAAAAUUCUUUGACGAGUAUUGGGAGUGUGUUCAAUCAGGGCCAACUAUUGAGGAUGCAAAGAUGAAUUGGUUGGACAGUGUCUUUUUUUUUUUUUUUUUUUAGAAGAAGUAUGCAAUUUUCAGUAAGGAGAAAAGACGGGAAGGGAACAUGACUUAGUAAGAAUUAGCUUUGGUAUAUUUCAAGACUGAAUGCAGUAAGUAGCCUGGUUUGAUAAGACAAUAAUGCUACUGUACAAGGGCGUGGUGAAAGAUAAGCCCACAGGAUGUGGUUAAAGAUAUCAUGAAAGGCCUUUAGUACUCAGCUGGUUUUGAGUAUAAUUGAACAGAGGAAGAGCCUUGGCAAAUAUGAAUUCGUGGUGUUGGAACAGGUGGCUAUCCUCGGAGGACAAAUAAUUAUCUGGCCUUUUACACAAAAGUAAACUUUAUUUAUUUAUUUUUAUUUUUUAAAAGAUUUUAUUUAUUUAUUCAUGAGAGACACAGAGAGAGAGGCAGAGACACAGGCAGAGAGAGAAGCUGGCUCCCCAUGGGGAGCCCGAUGUAGGACUCGAUCCCAGAACUCUAGGAUCAUGACCUGAGCCAAAGGCAGAUGCUCAACCACUGAGCCACCCAGUCGUCCCUAAACUCCAUUUAAAUAAAGAUGUAAAUGUGUAAAACAAAAUAUACUCCAAUAAGAAAACAUAGUAGUAAGUGUUCAUGACACUUACUUAGGAUUUUAUAAAACAUUGUAUAGAAAGAUGCAAGUGGGGCAGCCCCGGUGGCGCAGCGGUUUAGCGCCGCUUGCAGCCCAGGGUGUGAUCCUGGGGACCCGGGAUUGAGUCCCACGUGGGGCUCCCUGCAGGGAGCCAGCUUCUCCCUCUGCCUGUGUCUCUGCCUCUCUCUCUGUGUCUCUCAUGAAUAAAUAAAUAAAAUCUCUUAAAAAAAUAAAUUAAUUAAAAAAAAGAAAGAUGGAAAUGUUAAUGGAGAAAAGUAAUAAAUUUGACAAUGUUAUAAUUUUGAAACUUCUGUAUAACUUUAAGAAAGUUAAAGAUAAGGCACAAACUUGGAGGAUAUAUUUACAAAAUGUAGAAUUUUAAUAGUUUAUUUCUAGAAUAUACAAAGGACUUAAUAAGAACAUCUC
This 1909-nucleotide long non-coding RNA is filed under the name Canis lupus familiaris (dog). Its description in RNAcentral is "lncRNA (ENSCAFG00000050280.1)". The record is from RNAcentral. Lineage: Eukaryota; Metazoa; Chordata; Mammalia; Carnivora; Canidae.